This is a long non-coding RNA of Oncorhynchus keta (chum salmon), 359 nucleotides long. RefSeq lists it as uncharacterized. Lineage: Eukaryota; Metazoa; Chordata; Actinopteri; Salmoniformes; Salmonidae. The record is from RefSeq and is a predicted model, not a curated record. The transcript has 3 exons.
GAUACUAGAGUGUAGUGUACAGGCAGGUUAUUACUGUUGUGGAUUCUAGAGUGUAGUGUACAGGCAGGUUAUUACUGUUGUGGAUUCUGGAGUGUAGUGUACAGGCAGGUUAUUACUGUUGUGGAUUCUAGAGUGUAGUGUACAGGCAGGUUAUUACUGUUGUGGAUUCUGGAGUGUAGUGUACAGGCAGGUUAUUACUGUUGUGGAUUCUAGAGUGUAGUGUACAGGCAGGUUAUUACUGUUGUGGAUUCUGGAGUGUAGUGUACAGGCAGGUUAUUACUGUUGUGGAUUCUAGAGUGUAGUGUACAGGCAGGUUAUUACUGUUGUGGAUUCUGGAGUGUAGUGUACAGGCAGGUUAU